GCCAUUUUGUGUUGUCAGC
This 19-nucleotide microRNA is filed under the name Branchiostoma floridae (Florida lancelet). RNAcentral's name for it is "bfl-miR-4863-3p". The record is from miRBase by way of RNAcentral. RNAcentral also lists the same sequence under 1 other name. Lineage: Eukaryota; Metazoa; Chordata; Leptocardii; Amphioxiformes; Branchiostomatidae.